GACGAACGCUGGCGGCGCGCUUAACACAUGCAAGUCGAACGGAAAGGCCUGCUUUCCCUUGUGGAUUGCGGGUACUCGAGUGGCGAACGGGUGAGUAACACGUGAGUGAUCUGCCCCCAACUUGGGUAUAAGCCUGGGAAACUGGGUCUAAUUCCCGAUAGGACUGCAGGGUGGUGCCUGUGGUGGAAAACGAUUUUCUAGUGGUUGGGGAUGAGCUCGCGGCCUAUCGGCUGGUUGGUGGGGUAAUGGCCUACCAAGGCGGCGACGGGUAGCCGGCCUGAGAGGGUGGACGGCCACAUUGGGACUGAGAUACGGCCCAGACUCCUACGGGAGGCAGCAGUGGGGAAUAUUGCACAAUGGGCGGAAGCCUGAUGCAGCGACGCCGCGUGGGGGAUGACGGCCUUCGGGUUGUAAACUCCUUUCGACCGCGAGGAAGCCACCUGGUUGGAAGGGUGGUGACGGUAGUGGUAGAAGAAGCACCGGCUAACUACGUG
RNAcentral lists this ribosomal RNA (494 nucleotides) under uncultured bacterium. RNAcentral describes it as "partial 16S ribosomal RNA". It matches the Rfam family "Bacterial small subunit ribosomal RNA", at positions 28 to 507 of the family's 1533-position model. The record is from RNAcentral.